RNAcentral lists this transfer RNA (70 nucleotides) under Dipodomys ordii (Ord's kangaroo rat). It matches the Rfam family "tRNA". Rfam says of the family: Transfer RNA (tRNA) molecules are approximately 80 nucleotides in length. Their secondary structure includes four short double-helical elements and three loops (D, anti-codon, and T loops). Lineage: Eukaryota; Metazoa; Chordata; Mammalia; Rodentia; Heteromyidae. The record is from Rfam by way of RNAcentral.
GGGAAUGUGGCUCAGUGGUAGAGCACUUGCCUAGCAUGCAUAAAGCCCUGGGUUUGAUUCCUCAGUACCA